GCUAAUUUGUAAUUAAUAUACAAAGGCGAGUUACCUGUCCUUGGUUUACCAUCAACCAACCACUCGCGUCUAGCUACACGCAUAUUGUAAUGCAAAUCGUUUAGUCCGUCUGAUUUCCAGUAUGGCUUUAAAUGUGCUUUAAAAACACCCGAAGGAAUACACCGGGAACUGGCAGAUUGUAGAGCAUUUAUAACAUUACAUGUGUAUGAUUCAAUUUCAUGGGGAGGUAGGGGAUGAGGGGGAAUAGUAAUUUCUGAGAGAAGUCGGGAACUUUCCUCGCUGUAUACGUUAAUAAUCGCCUUUGUUG
Long non-coding RNA from Haliotis rubra (blacklip abalone), 307 nucleotides. RefSeq lists it as uncharacterized. The record is from RefSeq and is a predicted model, not a curated record. The transcript is spliced from 3 exons. Lineage: Eukaryota; Metazoa; Mollusca; Gastropoda; Lepetellida; Haliotidae.